UAUAUAGGGGGGUGGUGAGAGCUGGAAGCCUGGAUGCCUAGAUGCCUGGUUGCCUGGAUGCCUGGAUGCCUUGUCGUGAUGUUGCCUUUGAUUUUGAUUGUCGCUAGUCGCUGAAUGAUUUUGACCCCCCAACACUAGACGCUAAACGAGCCAGCCGUGUUUUGCGUCGUCGUCAUUGAUGCUUUCUUUGUGAUCCUAGUCGUAAUGUGUGGCCUGUUGCUCGAGAUCGUGUUUGGAGUUGCCACAUCUUCGACUCGGUGAUCUGGAUCGCAGAAAUGACUAUUGCCCCUCUCGAUGAAAUAUGUGGCCUAUCACCAGACGAUCCUAGAACGAAGCAUUACUCGUCACACUAGCUCGGCUGGUGACCUGUUUUGCCAAGGUCAUGGUGACUCGGUUUGCAAGUCGAUGCAUGUCGAAUUCGUUGGUUGUUAUUCUCUUCGCAUCGUUCGGUGCAUCCUGGGAGAUGUUCAGACCUUUGGUUGCUUUCUUGGCUUCUAUGCCUUGUGGGUGGCUAAUUGUUUGUCAUUUUUCGGGGGUGAUUACCGUAAAGGUGCAUGAGUGGUGUUUGGUUUGUUUCCGGUGGUUGGCUCUCUGCUUUUGCAACAACUUCCACCUGGCAUUCCUCUUCAGUUUAGGGUCAAGGUUGCAUUUCCUUGUGCGCUUAUGGUUUCGUGUAUUGCCUACCUACAUGACGGCAUGGGUUGAUUACAUCAAACUCGUGUUUCAUCGUUUGUCAUUUCUAUGGCGUAGGAUGAACAUCGAAGCUGCUUUCUAUGAUCCACUUUGUCGAUGCACAAGCGUUGAUGUUGUGGCUCAAUGAGUUCCGCUUGUUUUUCUGGAUACAGAACGUGAUAUGGGUGUGGGUCUUAUGCGAUCCUUGUUUUGCCCUUGUUGAACGUUGUUAUUACUCUGAGAUGACCGCCUAUCCUGAAAUGGCUCGUACCAGUGGGAUAGGUUAAGAUGUGUAAGAGCAAUAAUAACGUUCAUGCUUUUCUAAAAAGACGGCCUCACCUGCAUUGGCUUGUACCAGCGGGUAGGCUUUGUCAAAUAGGGAUGC
RNAcentral lists this unclassified non-coding RNA (1057 nucleotides) under Pallenis maritima. Its description in RNAcentral is "external transcribed spacer". The record is from RNAcentral. Lineage: Eukaryota; Viridiplantae; Streptophyta; Magnoliopsida; Asterales; Asteraceae.